GACGAACGCUGGCGGCGGGCUUAACACAUGCAAGUCGAACGGAAAGGCCCUGCGUGUGUGGGGUGCUCGAGGGGCGAACGGGUGCGUAACACGUGAGUAACCUGCCCUUGACUUUGGGAGAACUUCAGGAAACUGGGGCUAAUACCGGAUAGGAGCUCCUGCUGCAGGGUGGGGAUUGGAAAGUUUCGGCGGGUGGGGAUGGACGGGCGGCUUAUCAGCUUGCUGGUUGGGGAGUGGUUUACCAAGUGUUUGGCGGAUCGCCGGCCUUAGAGGGUGGCCGGCCUCCUGGCUCCUGCGGUACGGCCCAGUGUGCUAUGUUGGGCAGCGGUGGGGAAUCUUGCCCAAUGGGCGGGCGCCUGAUGAGGCGACGCCGCGUUCGUGAUGACGUCUUGCUGGUUGUAAACAGCAUCCGCCUGUGACGCCGCUUUAGUGACGGUACUCGGUAAAGAAGCACCGGCUAACUACGUG
RNAcentral lists this ribosomal RNA (468 nucleotides) under uncultured bacterium. Its description in RNAcentral is "partial 16S ribosomal RNA". It matches the Rfam family "Bacterial small subunit ribosomal RNA", at positions 28 to 507 of the family's 1533-position model. The record is from RNAcentral.